ACGAACGCUGGCGGCGUGCUUAACCCAUGCAAGUCGAACGAUGAUGCCAGCUUGCUGGUGGAUUAGUGGCGAACGGGUGAGUAACACGUGAGCAACCUGCCCCUGACUUCGGGAUAACCGCGGGAAACCGUGGCUAAUACCGGAUAUGACGCGCUAUCGCAUGGUGGUGUGUGGAAAGAUUUAUCGGUUGGGGAUGGGCUCGCGGCCUAUCAGCUUGUUGGUGGGGUGAUGGCCUACCAAGGCGACGACGGGUAGCCGGCCUGAGAGGGUGACCGGCCACACUGGGACUGAGACACGGCCCAGACUCCUACGGGAGGCAGCAGUGGGGAAUAUUGCACAAUGGGCGCAAGCCUGAUGCAGCGACGCCGCGUGAGGGAUGACGGCCUUCGGGUUGUAAACCUCUUUCAGUAGGGAAGAAGGCCUUCGGGUUGACGGUACCUGCAGAAGAAGCGCCGGCUAACUACGU
RNAcentral lists this ribosomal RNA (466 nucleotides) under uncultured bacterium. RNAcentral's name for it is "partial 16S ribosomal RNA". It matches the Rfam family "Bacterial small subunit ribosomal RNA", at positions 29 to 506 of the family's 1533-position model. The record is from RNAcentral.